UCCAGAAGAAACGUGGGAAUUUCCCAAAAC
RNAcentral lists this small RNA (30 nucleotides) under Bombyx mori (domestic silkworm). RNAcentral's name for it is "ovarian small RNA-26743". Lineage: Eukaryota; Metazoa; Arthropoda; Insecta; Lepidoptera; Bombycidae. The record is from RNAcentral.